RNAcentral lists this ribosomal RNA (261 nucleotides) under uncultured bacterium. Its description in RNAcentral is "partial 16S ribosomal RNA". It matches the Rfam family "Bacterial small subunit ribosomal RNA", at positions 515 to 775 of the family's 1533-position model. The record is from RNAcentral.
CCGCGGUAAAACGUAGGAGGCAAGCGUUAUCCGGAUUUACUGGGCGUAAAGCGCGUGCAGGCGGUUUGGUAAGUUGGAUGUGAAAGCUCCCGGCUCAACUGGGAGAGGUCGUUCAAAACUACCAGACUUGAGGGCGGUAGAGGGAAGUGGAAUUCCGUGUGUAGUGGUGAAAUGCGUAGAUAUACGGAGGAACACCAGUGGCGAAAGCGGCUUCCUGGACCGAUCCUGACGCUCAGACGCGAAAGCUAGGGGAGCAAACGG